GACCAGCUUUCUGCAGAGAGCCUCGUCAGAAAGACUUGGACUUCCAGCAGGACAUCAUCUGGGAUGGCACAUCCCCGACGCCCCGCAGACCUAGAAAACGAGGGAAAAAACAAACCUCCAGAGUUGUGAACAUCUCAGAGAUCGUCAGCAGGAUCGCACCGAAGCAUGGCAGGCCGGAGGCUGCAGAACCGAGCCUGCAGCAGUG
Molecule: long non-coding RNA, 205 nt
Organism: Nematolebias whitei (Rio pearlfish)
Lineage: Eukaryota; Metazoa; Chordata; Actinopteri; Cyprinodontiformes; Rivulidae
Exons: 3
Source: RefSeq, a predicted model, not a curated record